RNAcentral lists this ribosomal RNA (420 nucleotides) under Fusobacteriota bacterium. RNAcentral describes it as "Fusobacteria bacterium partial 16S ribosomal RNA". It matches the Rfam family "Bacterial small subunit ribosomal RNA", at positions 355 to 776 of the family's 1533-position model. The record is from RNAcentral. Lineage: Bacteria; Fusobacteriati; Fusobacteriota.
UGGGGGAUAUUGCACAAUGGGCGAAAGCCUGAUGCAGCGACGCCGCGUGGGGGAUGAAGGCCUUCGGGUUGUAAACUUCUUUUGCUCUGAACAAGGCAUGCCUUUGGGGUGUGUUGAGUGUAGGGGUUGAUUAGCGCCGGCUAACUACGUGCCAGCAGCCGCGGUAAUACGUAGGGCGCGAGCGUUGUCCGGAAUUAUUGGGCGUAAAGGGCUUGUAGGUGGCUGGUUGCGUCUGUCGUGAAAGCUCAUGGCUUAACUGUGGGUUUGCGGUGGGUACGGGCUGGCUUGAGUGCAGUAGGGGAGGCUGGAAUUCCUGGUGUAGCGGUGGAAUGCGCAGGUAUCAGGAGGAAUACCGGUGGCGAAGGCGGGUCUCUGGGCUGUUACUGACGCUGAGGAGCGAAAGCGUGGGGAGCGAACAGG